This 897-nucleotide long non-coding RNA is filed under the name Brassica rapa (field mustard). RNAcentral's name for it is "long non-coding RNA (BRAP_LNC000660)". The record is from RNAcentral. Lineage: Eukaryota; Viridiplantae; Streptophyta; Magnoliopsida; Brassicales; Brassicaceae.
UUAUAGUUUGUCAACGACAAACGACGUAUAUUAGUAUGGGUUUAAAUUUGGAUACUGAACAAAUCGGACAAUAUACUAGCAUAGACUAAUGUUUGUGGAUAUGAUUAUUAGUUAUAUAUAGUUUGUCAUGUUUUGAUAGUAAAGUAUUUAUAUUGAUAUCUAUAUAUAACUAAUAAUCAUAUCCACAAACAAUCACAACACUGUGUACAUUAUGUAACUUUGUGAUAUUUUUCUUGAACAAAAAUACCCGACAAUAUUGUUGUUUUGAUUUGGAUGCAAUGCAUGUGUAGCUUAAAGAAUCGCUUAAUCAUUGUUUCUACAUAGUUUAUCUUUCGAUCAUUGUUAUUAAAACUAAUUAUAUUAAUCGUCGACUAUCUUACAUGCUACUUGCUAGUAGGUCAGAUUUGAGGUAACCCAACAACUGCAAGACCAUAAUAAAAUAAUUAAACAUCAACAAAUACAAAAAACAUAAAAAUAGAUGAUAAGCAGAAAAAAUAUAUAUAGAAAAAAAAAGAGCCACGAAUAAAAACAAAUAGAAAAUAAAAGAAAAAUAAUAAACAUGUUCAUAUAAAAUAUUAUCAACAACACCAACUAAACCCAUUGUUUGUUAGCUUUUGGAUACGGACCCUAAUCAUGCAAUUGUUUUUGUUACGCAUUGUCUAAUAUUAUUGUUCUACUUCUACAACCAAUCAGCUUACUUUUCUUUUUAUUAAUUUAAACACACAAUAAUUCGGAAUAUCCUUUAGCAAAAGGAUCAGUAAUUCAAAAUAUCAGCAGCCAAUCGUGGUAUGGUUUAAACCAAAGGGUGCAGCCAUAUAUCGUCUAUAUGGUUGUUUUUUAAUAUUUCAUAUGUUUUCUAAUAGUAGACUUUCUGCACUCUGUGAUUACAACAUAAAC